GAUGAACGCUGGCGGCGUGCCUAAUACAUGCAAGUCGAGCGAACAGAUGAGGAGCUUGCUCCUCUGACGUUAGCGGCGGACGGGUGAGUAACACGUGGAUAACCUACCUAUAAGACUGGGAUAACUUCGGGAAACCGGAGCUAAUACCGGAUAAUAUAUUGAACCGCAUGGUUCAAUAGUGAAAGACGGUUUUGCUGUCACUUAUAGAUGGAUCCGCGCCGCAUUAGCUAGUUGGUAAGGUAACGGCUUACCAAGGCAACGAUGCGUAGCCGACCUGAAAGGUGAUUCGCCACACUGGAAACGAGACCAGGUCCCGACCUCCAACGGAAGCCGCAGGUGGGAAUCCUCCGGCAGGGGGCGAAGCCCUACGGAGCAACGCCGGCGGAGGGAUUAAGGGUCUUCGAUUGGAAAACCCUGUUAUUAGGGAAGAACAAAUGUGUAAGUAACUAUGCACGUCUUGACGGUACCUAAUCAGAAAGCCACGGCUAACUACGUG
Molecule: ribosomal RNA, 496 nt
Filed under: uncultured bacterium
Lineage: Bacteria
Description: partial 16S ribosomal RNA
Rfam family: Bacterial small subunit ribosomal RNA
Source: RNAcentral